Molecule: transfer RNA, 74 nt
Filed under: Marmota monax (woodchuck)
Lineage: Eukaryota; Metazoa; Chordata; Mammalia; Rodentia; Sciuridae
Description: tRNA.Ala
Rfam family: tRNA
About the family: Transfer RNA (tRNA) molecules are approximately 80 nucleotides in length. Their secondary structure includes four short double-helical elements and three loops (D, anti-codon, and T loops).
Source: RNAcentral
ACAGGGGUGUGGCUCAGUGGUCAAGUGCUUACCUAGCACGCAAGAGCCCCUGGGUUCAAUUCCCAGCUCUAGAG